RNAcentral lists this long non-coding RNA (2371 nucleotides) under Homo sapiens (human). RNAcentral describes it as "non-protein coding lnc-RPRM-8:1". Lineage: Eukaryota; Metazoa; Chordata; Mammalia; Primates; Hominidae. The record is from RNAcentral.
GCUCACCGCAACCUCUGCCUGGCACUUUUUAAAAAAUCAAAUAACUUAAGGAUGUUGGGGGAAUUUAUCCUGAGAAGAUAUUGAAGAUAAUUUAAAAAUAAAUAAAAGUUAUAAAGGACAUCUUUGAACAUCGAAUAUUCUAUAAUAAUCUAUGGGUAAAUUCGUAUAAUAUAUUUUACCCAUGUAUUAUUAUAAAUUUAUAAGUUCAAAUAUAUUAUAAAUUUAUAAAUUCAAAUAAUAUAUGGGUAUGUCUGAGUUAGCUGAAAACACUCCUUUUAAGAUUUUUUUUUUUUUUUUUUUUAUCAUGGAAGAGGGUCCCCAAACCAGAAAUAGGGAAACUGACAGGUAAAAUUAACCAUAAUAAACUAUAUAAUAUUGGUAUAAACAGAAUGUUCUGGUAAUGGUUACUACUUAACAUACCUGGGGUAGAGUUAAGAGAGUAGAAGGAGUUUCAGAGACAGGGAUAAUUUUGUUGGGACACGAAGGAUAAGUGAGAGUUUAUUGGGCAGAUGUGGCAAUAAAGGAAAUCUUACCAAAGGGAACGCCAUGGUAAAAGAGUUUUAUCAGUAAGAAAAAACUGAGAGCUCUAAAAAUCUCAGAUUGGUUCUGUGUGAUUGGAUCCUAAUGCACCUUUGGGACUGAGGCUGCAGAUAAACUUAGAAAGGCUGUCUGAAGGAGUUUUAAAUGUUGCUAAAGCAGUUAGACUAGAAUAUCAGUGAAAGAUGUUAGGAAGGGAGCCACAUGAUUACUAUUUGCAUUUAGAAGACAAUUCUGGCAGACUCAUGAAAGAAACUGGAGCUGGCUGAAUGGGAAAGGACAUUGACCAUGAUGCCGGCAACAGGGAGAUAAAUUAAGAAGCUAUUGCAAACCCUCAGGCAGCAAAUGAUGAGGACAAUGGAACUGGAAGAGUGAGAGAAGACUUGAAGAAUAUGUUAAUUGAUACAAUUAAGGACUUUGUGACCAACUCCGUGUGCAGAUUGAGCGAGAGGAAGACAUUAUUAUUAUUAUUUUUAAUUAUACUUUAAGUUUUAGGGUACAUGUGCACAACGUGCAGGUUUGUUACAUAUAUAUACACAUGUGCAUGUUGGUGUACUGCACCCAUUAACUCGUCAUUUAACAUUAGGUAUAUCUCCUAAUGCUAUCCCUCCCCCUCCCCCCACCCCACAACAGUCCCCGGUGUGUGAUGUUCCCCUUCCCGUGUCCAUGUGUUCUCAUUGUUCAAUUCCCUUAGCAGUUCCCAUGUUUUAGAUAACAUUUCUUCACACUAAAUUCUAAUUUCCAUUUGAAAAAUAUCUGCCAAAUCUACCAAAUGAAAAAGUAACCAGAAACAAUUUGGCAUAGCCUGGUGAUUCUGAGUACCCUCUUCCAGCCAGUGUACUUGUGUGACCUCCAGCAAGUUUCUACCUUAUCUUAGCACCUAACUUAUAGUGGUGAAUAAGGGUUGGCAUGUUUCCUGGCCCAGCUGCAGCAAUAAUCACAGGUAAGCACAGUAGUAACAGAAGACGGUGACAGUGGUAUCCUCUCCCAGAGUUCUCAAGAGCAAAUAAUUUGCAAUUACUGAAUGAAUUAAUACCAAUUCUGCUCCUAAAACUUGCUUUUGCAUUACUUGAGUCAUAAAGGUUCAGAAGCCAGAAGUAUAUAAAUCAAAUUCUUAAAAUGGCAAGUUGAGCAUUGAAGCAAGUUGGUGUGUCCUUGGCCCUUCAAAAAGGGGUAGCUACUACUCAGCUGCAGAAUUACACAAAAAUAUAGUCCUGUGUUGCCAGGUCUCUUUUCAGGUCUGGUCUUUCUCUGCCUCAUAUGUAUGUAUGUAGACACACAUAUAUGUAUGUACAUAUAUAUUAAAUAGCAUUAUUUUUACUUUUAGGUUUACAGAAAAAUUGAGAGCAUUCCCAUAUAUUCCCUUUCCCCUAGCCCACUAUUCCUACUGCACAGUAUCCCUGUUACUAACAUCUUGCAUUAAUGCGCUACUUUAAUUACAAUGGUUGAGCCAAUAGUGAUGCAUUAUUAUAAAGUCCAUAGUUUACAAUCAGGUUCACUCUUGGUGGUGUACUUUCUCUGGGUUUUGGCAAAUGUAUGGAUUCACCAUUGGAUAAUGACAUGUAUCCACCAUUGUAGUAUCACAAGAGUAUUUUCAAUGCCCUAAAAUCCUGUGUUCCACCUAUUCAUUCCCCCUCCCCAGCUCCUGGCAACCAUGGCUUUUUCACUGUCUCUGUAAUUUGCCUUUUCCACAAUGUCAUAUAGUUGAAACCAUAGAGUUUCAACUAUAUAUAACCUUUCUAAGCCUGUCUUCUUUAAUUUAGCAAUAUGCAUUUUAGGUUCCUCCAUGUCUUUUUCUCGUUUGAGAGCUCAUUUCUUUCUAUCACUGAAUGAU